AGCAUAUGUGGUUUCUCUAUUGAUUAAUGUCGUUUCAGUACGCAGUGCACAGCUGAUCAGUGGUCUUAGCGGACGGUCGCCGCUUGUUCGUGCUUUAAAAUAUUGGAAAACGACAGAAAAGUUACUGUUAUCCGCGUGUCUAUACGGUGGCAGUUGAAAUUUCACUUUGCAGCAAAUGAAUAAAAUCGCGACGUUUACCAAGUGUCUUUAUCGAGUGCUGGAAGUGAGCUGUUAACUGAUUCCUCGUUCGUUGGACGUUUCCAAUGGUUGCCGUCCGGUAGGCCUGCCAGGAGGAUGGGGGCCCACGAUGGGGGAGUGCCAUUGCUCUAACAUCGCUAUCAUGCAGCUGUUCCAUGAGCUGAAGCAGCAGUUCCCUGCGCUCCCUGAUCACGUCGUUUCCCAGUGCAUCGCCCAGAAUAGCCACGAUCGGGAGACAUGCGCGAGAAGCCUUCGUGCCACUCAAGAGUCACGUCAGUCUCCGGGCGCGUUCCCACCGGCGGCACUUUGCGCCAUCCUCCAGCAGCAGCAACAGCAACAGCAGCAACAUCAUCAACAUCAUCAACGAGCGAACCAUCUGGCCACGCAGCAGCAACGUUUCUGCACGAUGAGCCAGUUGCAACGCGCCAGCAACAGCACGAACAACAAUACGCGACCACACAGACCAGCCUCGCUGGACAUUGGUAUGGCACGGCGCUGUCCCGUUAGCUGUACACGAGCAGCCGCGAUAUCAGCCUCGUCGCCGAUAGCUGCCGACUCAGCCAGCACCCCUUCUUCAGCGCCUGCCGUCUGCACGACCGCGUCGCGCGGUUUCUUCGACGAUUGUACCGGACCGAGCGACGCGAACUGCCUUAACAAAGUCCAGAACGCGGGAAACGAGCCAGCCGGAUUCGAGCUGAACGUGAACGUUGCCUGCAGCCCUGCUGGCAAUCGCGACUUUCGAACGGUGCCUACGAUCGCUGGUGCCUGUAAACGAAGCGAUCUGCUGCUCGACCCACGGACUCAUUACGCCGAGCCGUUACUCAACGUGGAGAACACGGGCCCGCAGAUCGAUCACACUCGAAGCUACACCUCGGUUAGUCUGACGCUGAGGCCGCCAUCCUCGGAACCGCAGCCUCCGAUCGACAUCAGAUCUCAGGGCUCGAGCCUGACUUACUCGAGCUCCUCUCUGGAUCCCCGGGGCUUUCAAAGCCGUCUUCAGAUCAGCAUCGGCGCGGGAGCCGUUGGCGGUGUGGCGGCUGCGAGAAUCAGACCUCCGAUGGGCCCUAUCAGACCCAACAGCUUGAUACCGCCGGUACAAACCGGUCCUCAGAGACCACCAGUUGCAGGUCUUCCAGCAGGACCACCUAGUCAGUUACCGAGGCCCACGACGACAAUGAGCGCCCCAACCACACCUUCUGUACCAUCCACGACGAACAUCGCCCCCUCCAUUAGCCUUCCGACAACACCGUCAGGACCGACCACGACCUCGCCGCCCUCCAGUCCCAUUGGCGAACGAAUACCGGCCAAUUCCGAUCAGAACCGAUCGCCGUUGAAUCAAGUGGCGGAGCAUCAAAGGGAAUUGGUCGCCGAGCAGUUAGCAAGAAAAGAUAGACUCGCCAGGGAAUUGAGAGCCGAGAAAGGACGACUCGAAGCUAUGAAGAAAGAAUUGCAGUCCCUCACGAGGCCCUUUGAUUCUUCGAUGCCUCCUCAGGAACUGAAAAAAAAAUUGAGGAGCGAGAUCUAUCAGCUACAAGUUGAAUGCGACAGACUUGCGGAUGAGGUAGAUCAGUGGUCUGACCCAAGAGUACCUUUGGGCGAAACGAACGAAAAGUUUUAUCAGCGUAUUUACACGGGUCAGCCCCUACCAUCGAGAUCUGUCAGCGCCGACCCACCGCCUCUGCCGAGUCAGCCACCCGCCUGGCAACCGGAAUCGAGCGGUAACAACGUUGAUAGAGAUGAACGAGACGGACCUUCUUGGGUCUGUAGAAUGUGCACCUUCGACAAUCAUCCAUUGAUGAAUAAAUGCGAACAGUGCGACAUGCCGAGGCUGUUGGAUCACGGAAACACAGGUACGACUUCUGGAAAAUCGAUAGACGACCUUACGGCCUCGUUAACACGCUUGAACAUCGAUUCGUCACCUCCGCCGCCGCCACCUCCAGCACCUAUGGGAAAAUAAAAUCCAGUACCUUAACAGCAUGUCCUUUUUUUGCUAUGACAUUUUUGUGAAUUGACGAAUUUGUUUCGAACAAUGAUAUUUUGCGAAAUACCGGAUACGUACGGUCCUCUAUACUUCGCUGUGAUCGAAUGUCUUACAAGAGAUGGCGUUUCUUAUUGUAAAAUAUUUGCUCGUGAGCGAGAAAAUUGUUUUACGACCACCGCAACCAUUGAUGCGACAUCAAUAAAACGUGACUAUCCGACGCACUUAAACGUAACGCAUGGACGUGUGCUAUCCUCUUCCUUCUUCUUUUCUCUUCUUUUUUUUUUUUUUUGUUUAAAUAAACUCAAUCGAAUCAAAAAUUCGAAUUGAUCUUAACCAGAGGCAUGUCUAAUUUAGCAUAUGUUACAGUGUCAUUUUUCCCUAAUUAUUAAUAGUUUAAUCUGUUUAAUCGUUUCGACGGGUCGGUAACCGUAAAUUGGCGAAACUCAAGAUAUUCAUAUACGAGUUACACAUCAUCACAACUUCUCUCCGAGCCGGAUAGUGCAUAGUUGGGUGGUAUGAUGUGAACUGCGUUAGAAACGUGAAAACUGUAUAUAAAAUCAUUAUUUAAGUUAAAUAAAAAGUAGCAGCCAACAGAUCGGGAAAGGAGAACCAGAAAUUUAAAUAACUCGAUUGACUUCAAUUUUUCGUCUAUUCAAGAGAUCGGUGUAUAACUCGAUUUUUGAUAACAAUGGAUUCAGGUGUAAGAUUGGAAUACAACGUACCGCAAAAUGUACCAUUCUCACUUCUGAUUACUAAAUAAUCAACGACUUAUCAGUAGUCUGACUUCUAUUUGUAUGAGUUUUGAAAUACUAUUUAAAAUACAAGA
This is an RNA transcript of Bombus impatiens (common eastern bumble bee), 3005 nucleotides long. It is a transcript of the gene named TGF-beta-activated kinase 1 and MAP3K7-binding protein 3, with no coding region annotated. The transcript is spliced from 11 exons. The record is from RefSeq and is a predicted model, not a curated record. Lineage: Eukaryota; Metazoa; Arthropoda; Insecta; Hymenoptera; Apidae.